RNAcentral lists this small RNA (29 nucleotides) under Bombyx mori (domestic silkworm). Its description in RNAcentral is "ovarian small RNA-13876". The record is from RNAcentral. Lineage: Eukaryota; Metazoa; Arthropoda; Insecta; Lepidoptera; Bombycidae.
CCGCGUCGAUAGUCGGGCGAAAUGCCGCU